GGAUGGACCUGCGGUGCAUUAGCUAGUUGGUAGGGGUAACGGCCUUACCAAGGCGAUGAAUGCAUAGCCGAGUUUGAGAGACUGAUCGGCCACAUUGGGACUGAGACACGGCCCAAACUCCUACGGGAGGCAACAGUAGGGGAAUCUUCCACAAUGGACGCAAGUCUGAUGGAGCAACGCCGCGUGAGUGAAGAAGGGUUUCGGCUCGUAAAGCUCUGUUGUUGGUGAAGAAGGACAGGGGUAGUAACUGACCUUUGUUUGACGGUAAUCAAUUAGAAAGUCACGGCUAACUACGUGCCAGCAGCCGCGGUAAAU
RNAcentral lists this ribosomal RNA (315 nucleotides) under uncultured Lactobacillus sp. Its description in RNAcentral is "bacterial SSU rRNA". It matches the Rfam family "Bacterial small subunit ribosomal RNA", at positions 223 to 525 of the family's 1533-position model. The record is from RNAcentral. Lineage: Bacteria; Bacillati; Bacillota; Bacilli; Lactobacillales; Lactobacillaceae.